This 2604-nucleotide long non-coding RNA is filed under the name Homo sapiens (human). Its description in RNAcentral is "HSALNT0069081". The record is from RNAcentral. Lineage: Eukaryota; Metazoa; Chordata; Mammalia; Primates; Hominidae.
CCCCAAGCAGAGUUACCGGAAGAUAGCUGACAUGUAUUAAAUGUUUGUGGAAUAAGGAAUACAUGAAGAAGUCUAUCAUUCAAUCAAAGAAAACUAAGUAUCAUUGGAGGUCUUUCCAUUUUGGGGUCCAGUGGGUGUCCUUUGAGUCAAGAGCAUGAUCUUCAAUAGACUUGGGGCCAGAAAUGUGACAUGUGUCUGAAUCCAAUCAGAUCCAGUUAAGAUCCACAAAUGCUAGUCACUGGAAUCUGCAGCCCUUGAAUUAAUUCUGUCCUUAGAUUUGAUAAGCCAAUGUCAGAUUUAUUGUUGUUAUUUAUUAUUCUGUCCCUCCAGGAUGACAUUAGGAACAUACUGUCAAGAAAAGGAUGAUGCGUGUGCUGCAAAAUGCAGGACAAUUCACUUUCCAGGUGGGGUCUGGGGCCUGUGGCUUCUCUGUGAACUUUCUUUGUGUGCUGUGGAAUAUUUUCCAGCUGCAGCCUAUUGUCCUGUGAUUAGACUCUGGGGCUCCACAGAAUCUUGAUGACUAGCAUUUGGAGGAACACACCUUGGGAAAUGGUGAUUCUGUCCAAACUUUUUGUGUUAUGGCUGUGAGAAAUAGACUUACAGAAGGAGAUGUCCGCCCCACAUCUCUAAACUCAUGGGUGGAAACUCAGACUAAGACGGCACCUAGAAUGUGGUCCAGCACAUUGAGAAUAGAGCAGAAGAUGAAAGCUGGAGGGGCUGAGGGGCCUUGGAGGCAGAGUUGGGCUCAACUUCUCAUUCCCUGGGACGAACUGUGCACAGUAGCCUCUGCUCCUCCUUCUUCAGUGAAGACUGCGAUGCCUGUGUUGGGGCUCAGAAACCGAUACCCCAAAAUAUGAUGCUUUGUACAUGCUGAACUGAAACAGGAGCUUUAAGCUCUUUCAGGCCUCCCCACAUCUUACCGUCUCUCCCAAAGUGUAGGAUUCUCUGAAAGUCUUUGUCUGCCUAAAGUCCAGACCUACCAAUGAAGAAAACAAUCACCUCCUGCCCUUUGUCUGAGUUUUCAUGAGCUGAACCCAUAUUGCAGGAAGGAAGGCUAAGAUCUGUCAACACACCUGGGCAGACUUUUGUCACAAACCAUUGUCUGCUCUGAGGACCCAAAAGAGCUUGUCCCAGAUAAUUGCCUGUUCUUUAAGGCUAUUAAAUUCUCCCUGGUAACCAUUUACUGUCCUUCAACGGAAGUCCUCUUCUUCCCCCUCCCAUGACCUGUAUGACCAGCUCCCAUGCCCCCAUUCUUUCUGUAACCUCAAGAUGGUUUAUAAACUUCUGCGCCUCAUUGAGGGGUUGGGUCUUCAUUCUGAGGGCUCCCGUGUCACCUAAAGCUAUGGUCAGAUACAUUUGUAUGUGUUUUCUCCAAUUAAUCUGCCUUUCGUGAGUUGAUUUAUCGUGAAACUUCAGAGGAUGAAGGAGAAAUUUUCCCUUUGCACCUAUGCCUGCCACCCUCACAGGCUGUGUGAAGGUCCUUCUUCAAAAAAUACUGGCUAUUCUUGGCACUGACCUGGCCUCGGCUUUCAGGAAGAGAGGGGAGGCAGGCUCCCUUUCCCAAGACAUGCUGGCAGCCUGAGAGUCAAGGCCAUGGGGUGUUCACAGAUGAGGCCCCCUGAUAUUUACAUGUCUUAGGGAUCAGAAGUGGGCACAGCUGGGGCAGAGCGAGGAAGUGCUAACACCCACCAGGCAUCUGCGAGGGGACGCCCACAUCAAGAAAACCUCAGCACAAGGUUGAGUGUUUCAGCAAACCUCGGGGAGAUUGCACAUUUACUCAUGAAGAGACCACAUGGUGAGGUCAGCCCCAAAACCAGGCCAAUGUCUCUCAAGCCCAACUAGUUUUCAAGACAAUGUCUUGCAACUUAUAGAGUUUGGGGGGAAGGCAGUGUGAAGUUCAGGGGGGAAGGCAGUGUGAAGGUGAGCAUAUCAGUAGCUACCCACCAUGCUGGCUAAUCACUGGGAAAUUCUUUUAUAAACAGCCACAGUCUCUCUCAAGUUUUCCAAAAUUAGAACCUCUCCAAAUUUAUUUUUUUCAAGGCUUCAGAAAUAUCCCAUAAAUCUUUGAAAACGAAAAUUUCUUCUCUCUCCUCAGUCCUCACCCAGGGCUUCUGAUGCUGCCAGUCAAUCCCAAGUCAUGCUUGGUGUUUGGGGACCACGGCAGUGCAAAACCUCUGAGGGCCUGGGGAGAAGGAAUACCUGCAAGACUAAGAAUAAUGAAGGGAUAUAACAGAGGAUAGCCUCACUAUGCUCCUACUCCAGAAAAUUGGAUUAUUGUCUGCAAAGAUUCCUCAGUCUUGUGGACACUGAUGAAAUAUUGUAGACUGGAAUUGAAUCUGGCUUGUUGUCUGUUUGUUUAUUCCUGAGCCUGAUAAUUUAUUUGAACAACUUUGCCUUUCUAUAGUACAUGAUGAUCGGCAAGUUACUAUGACACGCAUUUGUACCCAUUGGACUCUGUGACCAUUCUGAAGAUAAGCUCUUGUCACCCUCCUCAUGGAAAAAAAUGGAGAUUCAUGAAAGUCAAAGGACUGGCCCAGGCUCUCACAGGCAAAGCUGGGAUUCCAACUUGUGUCUAAUGAGCCAGAAGCUCAGAGUCGUUUCCAC